UACAGGGGGGGCAAGCGUUGUUCGGAAUUACUGGGCGUAAAGGGCUCGUAGGUGGCCAACUAAGUCAGACGUGAAAUCCCUCGGCUUAACUGGGGAACUGCGUCUGAUACUGGAUGGCUUGAGUUUGGGAGAGGGAUGCGGAAUUCCAGGUGUAGCGGUGAAAUGCGUAGAUAUCUGGAGGAACACCGGUGGCGAAGGCGGCAUCCUGGACCAACACUGACACUGAGGAGCGAAAGCCAGGGGAGCAAACGGG
RNAcentral lists this ribosomal RNA (253 nucleotides) under uncultured bacterium. RNAcentral describes it as "partial 16S ribosomal RNA". It matches the Rfam family "Bacterial small subunit ribosomal RNA", at positions 524 to 776 of the family's 1533-position model. The record is from RNAcentral.